RNAcentral lists this non-coding RNA (711 nucleotides) under Batracomorphus cornutus. Lineage: Eukaryota; Metazoa; Arthropoda; Insecta; Hemiptera; Cicadellidae. The record is from RNAcentral.
AAAAAGUUUUAUUCUUGCUUUUUUAUUUAUUAUUUAUUUAAUUUACAUGAUUUUUUUUUUUUCAGUAAUUAGUUUUAUUAUUUAUUAUUAAUAAUUAUUUAUUGAUUUAAUUUUUUUUAGAAAAAUAUUGUGCCAGCAUUCGCGGUUAUACAUUUUAUGAAAUUAAAUAUUUUUGGUUUUUAUAUUACUAUUUGAUUAUUUUUUUUUUUAUUAAGGUGAAAUUUAUAAUAAAAUUAUUUUUCUUUUUUAUUUAUUAUAAAAUUUUUUUUAAAACUAGGAUUAGAUACCCUAUUAUUAAUUUCUUAUUUUUUUUUUCUUGAUUAAUAUUAGUUAAGUUCUUAAAAAAUCAAAGAAUUUGGCGGUUAAUUAUAUCUUUUUAGAGGAACAUGUAUUUUAAUUGAUAAUCCACGAUAUUUUUUACCAAAAUUUUUAUUUGUAUAUCUCUAUUGAUAGAAUAUUUUUAUAAAAAAAAUUUUCUUUUUCUAAUUUAGAAUUAUUUUAGGUCAAGGUGCAGUUUUAUUUUGGUUUAUAUGUGUUACUAAGUUUUUAAUUAAUUUAAUUUUCUUAUUGAAUAUUUUUAGGAUUUAAUAGUAAAUUUAAUUAAUUAAUUAUUUUGAAUAAAGUUCUUAUUAAUGUACAUAUCGCCCGUCACUCCUUAAUAUAGGAUAAGUCGUAACAAAGUAGUUUUACUGGAAAGUGAGUCUAGAAUUU